CAGUCGUACCGGCGGAUAAUCAGCCUUUCGGGUGCGAUUCUGUGGGGCGUGAGGAGUUUAACCGCCUUCAUGUUUUGCAUAUUCGUGCUCUUGGGUGUACUUGCUCGUAUGGUUGGUUAACAUCAAUUUUGGUGGUCAUAAAAUGACUGGAGGAAUGCAGCUUCGAUCUCGUAUUGAAGUGUUAUAGCCUUCGGUAGAUGUGAUGAUCGAG
This 211-nucleotide ribosomal RNA is filed under the name Rhizophagus intraradices. The record is from RNAcentral. Lineage: Eukaryota; Fungi; Glomeromycota; Glomeromycetes; Glomerales; Glomeraceae.